Molecule: ribosomal RNA, 575 nt
Filed under: Helicotylenchus dihystera
Lineage: Eukaryota; Metazoa; Nematoda; Chromadorea; Rhabditida; Hoplolaimidae
Description: eukaryotic LSU rRNA
Rfam family: Eukaryotic large subunit ribosomal RNA (bases 400-575)
Source: RNAcentral
CCGAUGAGGUGGAAACGGACAGAGCUGGCGUAUCUGGCCUGCAUUCAGCCGCUGCGCGUCGGGCCCCGGUUUGCCGCACUCCAGAUUGGGAAGGUGGCUGGGCUGCUGGCGUGCUGGUGGUGCAUUUGCAGGUGGAGUGCGCCGAGGCGCCCGGUUCAGCGGCAUGAGCUCGGCUUUGAGGCCAGUCGCGCAAGCGGUCUGGUACCCGGGUCGGGGGAGUGUUGUUUGGGCUGGGUGUUCGCUGGGGCACAGGUUUCGGGCCCGGGUGGGUGCCGAGCUGGCGGUCGGCGGCGGUCGCGUGCGACACGUGCCAGCAGUCAGUUCGGUCCUGCUUGAGCUCUCUCGUGUCCGGCCUCGGUGUAAAAGCCGGUCAUCUGUCCGACCCGUCUUGAAACACGGACCAAGGAGUUUAGCGUGUGCGCGAGUCAUUGGGUGUUGAAAACCCAGAGGCGUAAUGAAAGUGAAGGUCUGCCUUGUGCAGCUGAUGUGUGAUCCUGGGCGCCGCGGUGCCCGGGCGCAACAUAGUCCCGUCCCGACUGCAUGCAGUGGGGCGGAGACAGAGCGUACGCGCUGAG